This 378-nucleotide unclassified non-coding RNA is filed under the name plant metagenome. RNAcentral's name for it is "partial contains 5.8S ribosomal RNA, internal transcribed spacer 2, and large subunit ribosomal RNA". The stretch from base 1 to 105 matches the Rfam family "5.8S ribosomal RNA", at positions 50 to 154 of the family's 154-position model. The record is from RNAcentral.
GAAAUGCGAUAAGUAAUGUGAAUUGCAGAAUUCAGUGAAUCAUCGAAUCUUUGAACGCACCUUGCGCUCCUUGGUAUUCCUUGGAGCAUGCCUGUUUGAGUAUCAUGAAAUCUUCAAAGUAAAUCUUUUGUUAACUCAAUUGGUUUCUACUUUGGUAUUGGAGGUCUUUGCAGCUUCACACCUGCUCCUCUUUGUUCAUUAGCUGGAUCUCAGUGUUAUGCUUGGUUCCACUCGGCGUGAUAAGUUAUCUAUCGCGGAGGACACUGUAAAAGGUGGCCAAGGUAAAUGCAGAUGAACCGCUUCUAAUAGUCCAUUGACUUGGACAAUACUUUUAUGAUCUGAUCUCAAAUCAGGUAGGACUACCCGCUGAACUUAAGC